Molecule: non-coding RNA, 148 nt
Organism: Gorilla gorilla gorilla (western lowland gorilla)
Lineage: Eukaryota; Metazoa; Chordata; Mammalia; Primates; Hominidae
Rfam family: Metazoan signal recognition particle RNA
About the family: The signal recognition particle (SRP) is a universally conserved ribonucleoprotein. It is involved in the co-translational targeting of proteins to membranes.
Source: Rfam
GCUGGGUGUGGUGGAGCGUGCCUGUAGUCCCAGCUACUUGGGAGGCUGAGAUAGGAGGAUCACUCGAGCCCAGGAGUUCGAGGCUGCAGUGAGCUAUGAUCAUGUCAUUGCACUCUGGGCUGGGCAAUGGUGUGAGACCCUAUCUCUA